UUAGCCCUAAACUUAGAUAGUUACCUAAACAAACCUAUCCGCCAGAGAACUACUAGCAACAGCUUAAAACUCAAAGGACUUGGCGGUGCUUUAUAUCCCUCUAGAGGAGCCUGUUCUAUAAUCGAUAAACCCCGAUACACCUCACCACCCCUCGCCAAUUCAGUCUAUAUACCGCCAUCUUCAGCAAACCCUAAAAAAGGAAGAAAAGUAAGCACAAGUAUUUCUACAUAAAAAAGUUAGGUCAAGGUGUAACCCAUGAGGUGGGAAGCAAUGGGCUACAUUUUCUACAUCAGAACACCUACGAAGGUUCUUAUGAAACUAAGAACUAAAGGAGGAUUUAGUAGUAAAUUGAGAAUAGAGUGCUCAAUUGAAUAGGGCCAUGAAGCACGC
RNAcentral lists this ribosomal RNA (390 nucleotides) under Genetta thierryi. RNAcentral's name for it is "partial 12S ribosomal RNA". It matches the Rfam family "Bacterial small subunit ribosomal RNA", at positions 796 to 1384 of the family's 1533-position model. The record is from RNAcentral. Lineage: Eukaryota; Metazoa; Chordata; Mammalia; Carnivora; Viverridae.